This 637-nucleotide ribosomal RNA is filed under the name Cystobasidium laryngis. RNAcentral's name for it is "eukaryotic LSU rRNA". It matches the Rfam family "Eukaryotic large subunit ribosomal RNA", at positions 37 to 661 of the family's 3401-position model. Lineage: Eukaryota; Fungi; Basidiomycota; Cystobasidiomycetes; Cystobasidiales; Cystobasidiaceae. The record is from RNAcentral.
UGCAUAUCAAUAAGCGGAGGAAAAGAAACUAACAAGGAUUCCCCUAGUAACGGCGAGUGAAGUGGGAAAAGCUCAACUUUGAAAUCUGGUACUUUCAGUAUCCGAAUUGUAGUCUCAAGAAGUGUUUUCUGUGCCGGUCCAUGUAUGAGUCUGUUGGAACACAGCGUCAUAGAGGGUGACAACCCCGUUCAUGACAUGGAUCCCGGUGCUUUGUGAUACACUCUCGAAGAGUCGAGUUGUUUGGGAAUGCAGCUCAAAUUGGGUGGUAAAUUCCAUCUAAAGCUAAAUAUUGGCGAGAGACCGAUAGCAAACAAGUACCGUGAGGGAAAGAUGAAAAGCACUUUGGAAAGAGAGUUAACAGUACGUGAAAUUGUUGAAAGGGAAACGAUUGAAGUCAGACGUGCGUGAUGCGGUUCAGCUCUAGUUCGCUAGAGUGUACUCCGUAUCUUUGCAGGCCAACAUCGGUUUUGUUAGUCGGAUAAAGGUUUGAGAAAUGUGGCACCUUCGGGUGUGUUAUAGUCUCAGACUGAAUACGAUUGAUGGGACCGAGGAACGCAGCGCGCCGCAAGGCAAAGGUUCCGACCUUUUCGCGCUUAGGAUGUUGGUGAAAUGGCUUUAAACGACCCGUCUUGAAACC